Molecule: small RNA, 28 nt
Filed under: Bombyx mori (domestic silkworm)
Lineage: Eukaryota; Metazoa; Arthropoda; Insecta; Lepidoptera; Bombycidae
Description: ovarian small RNA-18844
Source: RNAcentral
UAACGGAUUUUAUUUUAUUAGGGUCUGG